UGUAAUAAUAACUAUAUUUAAUUAUUAACUAAAUCAAUUGGUGCUUAAUCCAUCUAUCCACCCAUCCAGGAUGCUUUGUUCAAGUCCCUACUUGUACAGCUUCACUUAAUAUUUAAAUGUUUUAUGAUUUGAGGUAGAUAGCUAUCAUCAUUGCUUGAUCAAAACCCAUUCAGCUUUCUUCUCAUGUGUCACCCUGAUCUGUGGCCCUCCUCAUCACUCUGAGUAGAUGCUCAACUCAAUUUGCAUUUGAAAUACAGUCUUAUCACAGAUGCUUCUGUAGAAGAGAAACUUAAAAAGAAGAAAAACAGUAGAAUGUUUUUAAAAAGUUGUGGAAAUAGG
RNAcentral lists this long non-coding RNA (339 nucleotides) under Homo sapiens (human). RNAcentral's name for it is "non-protein coding lnc-PIGN-10:3". Lineage: Eukaryota; Metazoa; Chordata; Mammalia; Primates; Hominidae. The record is from RNAcentral.